CUUUCUCCGCCGGCGACCGGCGCACGGGUGAGUAACACGUAUGCAACCUGCCCCUGUCUGGGGGACAACCCGCCGAAAGGCGGGCUAAACCCGCGUACAUGCCACCGGGGCAUCCCGGAGGCAGGAAAGGCUUCGGCCGGACAGGGAUGGGCAUGCGGCGCAUUAGGCAGUAGGCGGGGUAACGGCCCACCUAACCGACGAUGCGUAGGGGUUCUGAGAGGAAGGUCCCCCACACUGGUACUGAGACACGGACCAGACUCCUACGGAAGGCAGCAG
Molecule: ribosomal RNA, 276 nt
Filed under: uncultured bacterium
Lineage: Bacteria
Description: partial 16S ribosomal RNA
Rfam family: Bacterial small subunit ribosomal RNA
Source: RNAcentral